RNAcentral lists this small RNA (21 nucleotides) under Arabidopsis thaliana (thale cress). RNAcentral describes it as "Ath_wt_11243". Lineage: Eukaryota; Viridiplantae; Streptophyta; Magnoliopsida; Brassicales; Brassicaceae. The record is from RNAcentral.
GCCUCGGCAUCAGCGUGCUCC